RNAcentral lists this small nucleolar RNA (114 nucleotides) under Echinops telfairi (small Madagascar hedgehog). RNAcentral's name for it is "Small nucleolar RNA SNORA44 (ENSETEG00000025047.1)". It matches the Rfam family "Small nucleolar RNA SNORA44". From Rfam's summary of the family: ACA44 is a member of the H/ACA class of snoRNA that guide the sites of modification of uridines to pseudouridines. Lineage: Eukaryota; Metazoa; Chordata; Mammalia; Afrosoricida; Tenrecidae. The record is from RNAcentral.
AAGCAAGUAGCCGUGGCCAUCUGAUCUCCAACUGCACGCGAGAGCAACCUGGAGAGACGGGGACAGCUCAGGUCAGCAAAGGAUCUGCAGCUGCCACUCGCCUUGCCUGUUAAA